Molecule: ribosomal RNA, 289 nt
Filed under: uncultured Roseiarcus sp.
Lineage: Bacteria; Pseudomonadati; Pseudomonadota; Alphaproteobacteria; Hyphomicrobiales; Roseiarcaceae
Description: partial 16S ribosomal RNA
Source: RNAcentral
CUACCGGGGUAUCUAAUCCUGUUUGCUCCCCACGCUUUCGCGUCUCAGCGUCAGUUCCGAGCCAGUGAGCCGCCUUCGCCACUGGUGUUCUUGCGAAUAUCUACGAAUUUCACCUCUACACUCGCAAUUCCACUCACCUCUCUCGGACUCAAGGUCUUCAGUAUCAAAGGCAGUUCCAAGGUUGAGCCUUGGCAUUUCACCCCUGACUUAAAGACCCGCCUACACGCGCUUUACGCCCAGUAAUUCCGAACAACGCUAGCCCCCUUCGUAUUACCGCGGCUGCUGGCAC